AUUGAAUGCUGGCGGCAUGCCUUACACAUGCAAGUCGAACGGCAGCACGGGAGCUAUCCUGGUGGCGAGUGGCGAACGGGUGAGUAAAGUAUCGGAACGUGCCCAGUCGUGGGGGAUAACGUAGCGAAAGUUACGCUAAUACCGCAUACGAUCUAUGGAUGAAAGCGGGGGAUCGCAAGACCUCGCGCGAUUGGAGCGGCCGAUAUCAGAUUAGGUAGUUGGUGGGGUAAAGGCUCACCAAGCCGACGAUCUGUAGCUGGUCUGAGAGGACGACCAGCCACACUGGGACUGAGACACGGCCCAGACUCCUACGGGAGGCAGCAGUGGGGAAUUUUGGACAAUGGGCGAAAGCCUGAUCCAGCCAUGCCGCGUGCAGGAUGAAGGCCUUCGGGUUGUAAACUGCUUUUGUACGGAACGAAAAGGUUUGGCCUAAUAAGCUGAGCUCAUGACGGUACCGUAAGAAUAAGCACCGGCUAACUACGUGCCAGCCGCCGCGGUAA
This 500-nucleotide ribosomal RNA is filed under the name uncultured bacterium. RNAcentral's name for it is "partial 16S ribosomal RNA". It matches the Rfam family "Bacterial small subunit ribosomal RNA", at positions 30 to 523 of the family's 1533-position model. The record is from RNAcentral.